Molecule: long non-coding RNA, 313 nt
Filed under: Mytilus galloprovincialis (Mediterranean mussel)
Lineage: Eukaryota; Metazoa; Mollusca; Bivalvia; Mytilida; Mytilidae
Source: RNAcentral
UUUAUCAUAUACUUAGACUAAAUAACAUAUGAUUUUUACUGUAUGAUAAUAACAUUAAAUUAACGUCAACUCCAUAUUUUACGAAUUGGUGCUUAGCGGGCUGAUAUGAAAAGUUUAUCACAUGCUUCGAUUGUUAUCACAUGCCUUUCCGUAACGUUAUCACAUGGCAUUCCGGUGAUACUCGGUAAAUUCCGGAAAAUACACCCCAGUGCUACGUUUUCAGUGAAAAACAUUACAAAGUAGUGUACAAAACAAUUAUUUGAAUACUGGAAAGUAAAUUGUGUAAAAUAAUAAAAUUGAAUUAAAAAAAAAA